This 497-nucleotide ribosomal RNA is filed under the name uncultured bacterium. Its description in RNAcentral is "partial 16S ribosomal RNA". It matches the Rfam family "Bacterial small subunit ribosomal RNA", at positions 28 to 507 of the family's 1533-position model. The record is from RNAcentral.
GAUGAACGCUGGCGGCGUGCCUAAUACAUGCAAGUCGAGCGAACAGACGAGGAGCUUGCUCCUCUGACGUUAGCGGCGGACGGGUGAGUAACACGUGGAUAACCUACCUAUAAGACUGGGAUAACUUCGGGAAACCGGAGCUAAUACCGGAUAAUAUAUUGAACCGCAUGGUUCAAUAGUGAAAGACGGUUUUGCUGUCACUUAUAGAUGGAUCCGCGCCGCAUUAGCUAGUUGGUAAGGUAACGGCUUACCAAGGCGACGAUGCGUAGCCGACCUGAGAGGGUGAUCGGCCACACUGGAACUGAGACACGGUCCAGACUCCUACGGGAGGCAGCAGUAGGGAAUCUUCCGCAAAGGGCGAAAGCCUGACGGAGCAACGCCGCGUGAGUGAUGAAGGUCUUCGGAUCGUAAAACUCUGUUAUUAGGGAAGAACAAAUGUGUAAGUAACUAUGCACGUCUUGACGGUACCUAAUCAGAAAGCCACGGCUAACUACGUG